AGGAACCUGCCUUUCAGAGGGGGACGAACAGUUGGAAACGACUGCUAAUACCGCAUGAUGUAUCGGAGUCGCAUGGCACUGAUACCAAAGAUUUAUCGCUCUGAGAUGGACUCGCGUCUGAUUAGCUAGUUGGCGGGGCAACGGCCCACCAAGGCGACGAUCAGUAGCCGGACUGAGAGGUUGGCCGGCCACAUUGGGACUGAGACACGGCCCAGACUCCUACGGGAGGCAGCAG
This 235-nucleotide ribosomal RNA is filed under the name uncultured bacterium. RNAcentral's name for it is "partial 16S ribosomal RNA". It matches the Rfam family "Bacterial small subunit ribosomal RNA", at positions 120 to 354 of the family's 1533-position model. The record is from RNAcentral.